This 301-nucleotide ribosomal RNA is filed under the name uncultured bacterium. RNAcentral's name for it is "partial 16S ribosomal RNA". It matches the Rfam family "Bacterial small subunit ribosomal RNA", at positions 509 to 807 of the family's 1533-position model. The record is from RNAcentral.
CAGCAGCCGCGGUAAAACGAAGGGUGCAAGCGCUAACCGGAAUUACUGGGCGUAAAGCGUGCGUAGGCGGUUUGUUAAGUCUGCUGUGAAAUCCCCGGGCUCAACCUGGGAAUGGCAGUGGAUACUGGCAAGCUAGAGUGUGUCAGAGGAUGGUGGAAUUCCCGGUGUAGCGGUGAAAUGCGUAGAGAUCGGGAGGAACAUCAGUGGCGAAGGCGGCCAUCUGGGACAACACUGACGCUGAGGCACGAAAGCGUGGGGAGCAAACAGGAUUAGAUACCCCCGUAGUCCCUGUCUCUUAUAC